This 492-nucleotide ribosomal RNA is filed under the name uncultured bacterium. RNAcentral's name for it is "partial 16S ribosomal RNA". It matches the Rfam family "Bacterial small subunit ribosomal RNA", at positions 29 to 507 of the family's 1533-position model. The record is from RNAcentral.
AGUGAACGCUGGCGGUAGGCCUAACACAUGCAAGUCGAACGGCAGCACAGUAAGAGCUUGCUCUUACGGGUGGCGAGUGGCGGACGGGUGAGGAAUACAUCGGAAUCUACUUUUUCGUGGGGGAUAACGUAGGGAAACUUACGCUAAUACCGCAUACGACCUACGGGUGAAAGCAGGGGAUCUUCGGACCUUGCGCGAUUGAAUGAGCCGAUGUCGGAUUAGCUAGUUGGCUGGGUAAAGGCCCACCAAGGCGACGAUCCGUAGCUGGUCUGAGAGGAUGAUCAGCCACACUGGAACUGAGACACGGUCCAUACUCCUACGGGAGGCAGCAGUGGGGAAUAUUGGACAAUGGGCGCAAGCCUGAUCCAGCCAUACCGCGUGGGUGAAGAAGGCCUUCGGGUUGUAAAGCCCUUUUGUUGGGAAAGAAAAGCAGCAGGUUAAUACCCCGCUGUUCUGACGGUACCCAAAGAAUAAGCACCGGCUAACUUCGUG